GACGAACGCUGGCGGCGUGCUUAGCACAUGCAAGUCGAACGAAGAGCGACGGAAGCUUGCUUCUAUCAAUCUUAGUGGCGAACGGGUGAGUAACGCGUAAUCAACCUGCCCUUCAGAGGGGGACAACAGUUGGAAACGACUGCUAAUACCGCAUACGAUCUAAUCUCGGCAUCGAGGAUGGAUGAAAGGUGGCCUCUACAUGUAAGCUAUCACUGAAGGAGGGGAUUGCGUCUGAUUAGCUAGUUGGAGGGGUAACGGCCCACCAAGGCGAUGAUCAGUAGCCGGUCUGAGAGGAUGAACGGCCACAUUGGGACUGAGACACGGCCCAGACUCCUACGGGAGGCAGCAGUGGGGAAUCUUCCGCAAUGGACGAAAGUCUGACGGAGCAACGCCGCGUGAGUGAUGACGGCCUUCGGGUUGUAAAGCUCUGUUAAUCGGGACGAAAGGCCUUCUUGCGAAUAGUGAGAAGGAUUGACGGUACCGGAAUAGAAAGCCACGGCUAACUACGUG
This 510-nucleotide ribosomal RNA is filed under the name uncultured bacterium. RNAcentral's name for it is "partial 16S ribosomal RNA". It matches the Rfam family "Bacterial small subunit ribosomal RNA", at positions 28 to 507 of the family's 1533-position model. The record is from RNAcentral.